CAGUGUAUGGCUUAACAGCUAAAGCGUCUCCCUUACACAGAGGAAAUAUCCGUG
This 54-nucleotide ribosomal RNA is filed under the name Pyronotanthias lori (Lori's anthias). RNAcentral's name for it is "partial 12S ribosomal RNA". Lineage: Eukaryota; Metazoa; Chordata; Actinopteri; Perciformes; Anthiadidae. The record is from RNAcentral.